UACGGAGGGUGCAAGCGUUAAUCGGAAUUACUGGGCGUAAAGGGCGCGUAGGCGGUCCGUUAAGCCAGAUGUGAAAGCCCCGGGCUCAACCUGGGAAUGGCAUUUGGAACUGGCGGACUUGAGUGCAGGAGAGGAAGGUAGAAUUCCAGGUGUAGCGGUGAAAUGCGUAGAGAUCUGGAGGAAUACCAGUGGCGAAGGCGGCCUUCUGGACUGACACUGACGCUGAGGCGCGAAAGCGUGGGUAGCAAACAGG
RNAcentral lists this unclassified non-coding RNA (253 nucleotides) under uncultured Halomonadaceae bacterium. Its description in RNAcentral is "contains 16S-23S intergenic spacer region". It matches the Rfam family "Bacterial small subunit ribosomal RNA", at positions 524 to 776 of the family's 1533-position model. The record is from RNAcentral. Lineage: Bacteria; Pseudomonadati; Pseudomonadota; Gammaproteobacteria; Oceanospirillales; Halomonadaceae.